Molecule: ribosomal RNA, 769 nt
Filed under: uncultured archaeon
Lineage: Archaea
Description: bacterial SSU rRNA
Rfam family: Archaeal small subunit ribosomal RNA
Source: RNAcentral
UGGAGGAUAAUCUCGAGAAAUUGAGGAUAAUACUCCAUAGAUCAUGAAUUCUGGAACGACUCAUGGUCAAAAGUUCCGGCGCUCUAGGAUCGGUCUGCGGCCUAUCAGGUAGUAGUGGGUGUAACGGACCCACUAGCCGACGACGGGUAUGGGCCUUGAGAGAGGGAGCCCAGAGAUGGAAUCUGAGACACGAUUCCAGGCCCUACGGGGCGCAGCAGUCGCGAAAACUUCACAAUGGAGGCAACUCCGAUGAGGGAAUUCCAAGUGCUAGCACAUUAGUGUUAGCUUUUCUUAAGCGUAGAUAACUUAAGGAAUAAGGGCUGGGUAAGACGGGUGCCAGCCGCCGCGGUAAUACCCGCAGCCCAAGUGGUGGUCGAUUUUAUUGAGUCUAAAACGUUCGUAGCCGGUUCAUUAAAUCCUUGGGUAAAUCGGAUGGCUUAACUACCCGAAUUCCGGGGAGACUGGUGAACUUGGGACUGGGAGAGGCAAGAGGUACUUUUGGGGUAGGGGUAAAAUCCUGUAAUCCUAAAAGGACCACCGGUGGCGAAGGCGUCUUGCUAGAACGGAUCCGACGGUGAGGGACGAAGCCCUGGGUCGCAAACGGGAUUAGAUACCCCGGUAGUCCAGGGUGUAAACGCUGCAGACUUGGUGUUGGGGACCCUUCGGGGGUGUUCAGUGCCGGAGAGAAGUUGUUAAGUCUGCUACUUGGGGAGUACGUCCGCAAGGAUGAAACUUAAAGGAAUUGGCGGGGGAGCACAAUUCAAUGUUC